Molecule: ribosomal RNA, 586 nt
Filed under: uncultured Burkholderia sp.
Lineage: Bacteria; Pseudomonadati; Pseudomonadota; Betaproteobacteria; Burkholderiales; Burkholderiaceae
Description: bacterial SSU rRNA
Rfam family: Bacterial small subunit ribosomal RNA
Source: RNAcentral
AUACAUCGGAACAUGUCCUGUAGUGGGGGAUAGCCCGGCGAAAGCCGGAUUAAUACCGCAUACGAUCUGAGGAUGAAAGCGGGGGACCUUCGGGCCUCGCGCUAUAGGGUUGGCCGAUGGCUGAUUAGCUAGUUGGUGGGGUAAAGGCCUACCAAGGCGACGAUCAGUAGCUGGUCUGAGAGGACGACCAGCCACACUGGGACUGAGACACGGCCCAGACUCCUACGGGAGGCAGCAGUGGGGAAUUUUGGACAAUGGGCGAAAGCCUGAUCCAGCAAUGCCGCGUGUGUGAAGAAGGCCUUCGGGUUGUAAAGCACUUUUGUCCGGAAAGAAAUCCUUGGUUCUAAUAUAGCCGGGGGAUGACGGUACCGGAAGAAUAAGCACCGGCUAACUACGUGCCAGCAGCCGCGGUAAUACGUAGGGUGCAAGCGUUAAUCGGAAUUACUGGGCGUAAAGCGUGCGCAGGCGGNUUGCUAANACCGAUGUGAAAUCCCCGGGCUCAACCUGGGAACUGCAUUGGUGACUGGCANGNUAGAGUAUGGCAGANGGGGGUAGAAUUCCACGUGUAGCAGUGAAAUGCGUAGAG